This 111-nucleotide ribosomal RNA is filed under the name Staphylococcus sp. AtHG25. Its description in RNAcentral is "partial 23S ribosomal RNA". It matches the Rfam family "Bacterial large subunit ribosomal RNA", at positions 2814 to 2925 of the family's 2925-position model. Lineage: Bacteria; Bacillati; Bacillota; Bacilli; Caryophanales; Staphylococcaceae. The record is from RNAcentral.
CCCAACUUCGGUUAUAAGAUCCCUCAAAGAUGAUGAGGUUAAUAGGUUCGAGGUGGAAGCGUGGUGACACGUGGAGCUGACGAAUACUAAUCGAUCGAAGACUUAAUCAAU